GAAAAUAAUCUUGUGAUUGAUUUAACCGUCAUGAUCAAAAAUUAUUAUCAUACUUGGUAGGUGGAAACAUUUACCUUGAUUACUUUGAAAAAAUUAGAGUGUUCAAAGCAAGAUUCACAUCUGAAUAAUACAGCAUGGGAUAAUACAAUAUGACAUUAGUUAAAAUUUGUUGGUUUCUUUGGCUAAUGUA
RNAcentral lists this ribosomal RNA (190 nucleotides) under uncultured fungus. RNAcentral describes it as "partial small subunit ribosomal RNA". The stretch from base 74 to 190 matches the Rfam family "Eukaryotic small subunit ribosomal RNA", at positions 746 to 864 of the family's 1831-position model. Lineage: Eukaryota; Fungi. The record is from RNAcentral.